This 55-nucleotide transfer RNA is filed under the name Grammomys surdaster. Its description in RNAcentral is "partial tRNA-Val". Lineage: Eukaryota; Metazoa; Chordata; Mammalia; Rodentia; Muridae. The record is from RNAcentral.
CACAGUGUAGCUUAAUAAAAAGCGUCUGGCUUACACCCAGAGGAAUUCAUUAAAU